CGGACAAAGAUGCAAAACGGAGAAAGAGAAAUGAAAUAAUAAAGUGAAGUCACCUAAAGCCUUUUGAGAAGAGAAGCUCGACGUGAAAGAGUUCGGACCUGAUCAGCCGAACAUCACAGUUAAUCAGUAGUCCAAAAAACAGAGGGAGACAGUACACUCGUCUUUUUCCAGGACCUGUUUAGCAACAAGGCUUGGAAAACUGCAUAUAGUAAGGCUAAUGCUUUAUUCUGCUUUCCUUGCGUCCUUUUUAAAACGUCAGGAUCUGACCCAGCAUGGAUUAAGACGGUUUACAUUUGACUCUGGAAAGGACCCUGUGGCACUGGAGUGCAUCGCAUGUUCCUGUGCCGCAGGUAAAGCUUGGUGUAAUCACAUGGUAGCCCUGCUUUUUCAGACAGCACACUACAGUACCUUGGGGUUCAAGACUGUGCCAUUGCCACUGUCCCACACCAGCAUGCUGCAGACCUGGCACCGGCCAAGGACACAGGGAAUUGGACCAGAGGCAGCAAUUGGUAUGACAGUGUGUAAGCCCAAAACAAAAAGGAGUGGAGGACUGGUGCAAAGUGCACACUGCACAGAACAUAAGAGAGCCUUUUUGUUAAUUUAUUUAACCUUUAUUUUUCGAGGGUUGUCACGUUGUUUAUAUUUACAAUUAAUGUAAUGUACAUAGAUUUUUUCUUCUUCUUUUUUUUUAAAGGUAAGACGGGGGAUCUCAGCUGCCAGACCAGACAGCAGUCAGAAUGCCAGUUAUGGACCCUGGUACGCAAAACAUGACCCACAGCCAGAUGAUUCCGUGAGAUAUGCCAUGUUCGUGGGGGGUCUUCUGCCAAAGCCUUGGAUUCUCACAUCCUGAGGGGAAACACCUCAGACUGCUGCCAUGAAACAAGGUUUGGACCUGGAGUCGGAGAUAUUGCGGCAAUAUUCACAUUUUUGUGAUGUCUCUGUGACACCUUCUGGAGUAAUAAUCCACCCAGACACAGGUCACCUGAUGCCAAAGUCUUCAACCCUUGUGAAGCACCACCAUUUGGCCUGGCAGAGGUCAAGACCUGCAGUGUGGAAAGUGAUGCACAAAUGAAACACCUGACCACAGUUAAAGGCAAAGCCUACGUAUUUGAAGACUCACAAAUACUAUUAUUAGGUGCAAGGACAACUGGCCAUACGUGGCCUUCAGUGUUGUGAUUUCAUUACAGAUACGCACACUGACUUUACAGUUGAACAAAUCUUUAGGGAUGAAGAGCUUAUCUUGUCAAUGUGCCAAAAGCUGGAUGACUAUUUCAAUAUCUACAUGGAUGUCUUACAUAGUAAAGCUUAAAAAUGACUUGAGAGCAGUGAAGUAGUGCUGUAGUUGUACUAGUGCACCUAUGAAGCUGAUACAACAGUUCCUCCUACACCAAAUGUGUAACAAUAGUUUAGAUGGGUUUUAAUUGGUUUCAAAAUGUUUUAGUUUUUUUAUUUUUUUUUAGGUAAGAAAGUCUAAUGUAAAAGGUGUUCUCAUUUACAGUGCAGCGUUGCAGUGUUUGCAGUUUUCAAACAGAAUCGAAUACUGAUCUCAUGUUCUUAUGAGAAUGACACACUUUUGUUAAUGAUGUCACAAGAUUAUAUUAAAGAUGGGUGGUUACACAAGGACACUGAAUCAGUGAUGUAUAAACUUGUAAACAUUGGUCAUAUAGUUGCAAAGUUCAAACACCUUAGAAUCAAAGCACCAAAUGUGGUACUGGUUUGUCCCCUUUGAUAUGAAGAGGUCCCUGGUAGUUAGACAUCAGGCAACAGAUGGCCCAGAGCUGAUUGACAGAUCCUACCAUAGAGAGUGGAACAAGCUCAUCCCAAAUGUGGUAUUCCUUGACCCUGCGUAUGGCCCUUUCCAUUAGGAUCCUCAGUCGAGCAAUAGCCUGGGUCUUCUGAGUGUCUUCCUUGCUGGGAUGCACUUUUUUAAUGGAGGGAUGAUGAGUCUCUGACAGCAUCUUCUCAGUCAGGAAGCCCUUUUCCACCAGUACCUCAUCCCCUGGCUGGAGUAGCUGUAGAAGGUGUGAUCUCUUUGUUAUUUCAAUGUCUGAAACAGAGCCAGUGUACAGUGUCGAAACAAAUGUGAUAACACCACAUGGCGCAACACCAAUCAGACCCUUGAAGGUGGUGUGAUUUCUGUAACUUGAGAAUGUCUCUCACUGUAAUGAGAGGGAAGAUGCCGUUUCACAGCAGAUCUCGGUGCAAUCUAUGAUGACUCUGAGCUGAGGACAGUAGAGCCUGAACUUGUCAGGCAUUGUGGCCUGCAUUUGCUCUCUUGUCAUCCAUGAUGGUAGUGAUCCCAGAACCAGGUAGAGAUAGCUUGUCCAUGUGAGAAUGAUGCGACUAACAGACGACACAGUCACCUUAAAGAGCGAUGACAAGGUCUUCUCCUGAAGCCCAGCUGCUAUGCAACAG
This is a long non-coding RNA of Mugil cephalus (flathead mullet), 2415 nucleotides long. RefSeq lists it as uncharacterized. The transcript has 3 exons. The record is from RefSeq and is a predicted model, not a curated record. NCBI's taxonomy places the organism in Eukaryota, Metazoa, Chordata, Actinopteri, Mugiliformes, Mugilidae.